AUAUUGGAAGCCGGGAGUCUCUGCCUGCCAGGUCAGCGCUUCCAAGUCGGUGACAAGUGAAGUUCAGGACAGCAAAGGAGUUAGAGCCAACAGCGGCCGGAGCUGCCAGCCAUUUGAAACUGAACCACCACAGAAGGGGAAGCAGAGGGUGAAGGCCAG
Long non-coding RNA from Myotis lucifugus (little brown bat), 159 nucleotides. RefSeq lists it as uncharacterized. The record is from RefSeq and is a predicted model, not a curated record. The transcript has 2 exons. Lineage: Eukaryota; Metazoa; Chordata; Mammalia; Chiroptera; Vespertilionidae.